UACGGGGGGGGCAAGCGUUGUUCGGAAUUACUGGGCGUAAAGGGCGCGUAGGCGGCCUGCUAAGUCGGACGUGAAAUCCCUCGGCUCAACCGAGGAACUGCGUCCGAUACUGGUGGGCUUGAAUCCGGGAGAGGGAUGUGGAAUUCCAGGUGUAGCGGUGAAAUGCGUAGAUAUCUGGAGGAAUACCGGUGGCGAAGGCGGCAUCCUGGACCGGCAUUGACGCUGAGUGAGCGAAAGCCAGGGGAGCAAACGGG
Molecule: ribosomal RNA, 254 nt
Filed under: uncultured bacterium
Lineage: Bacteria
Description: partial 16S ribosomal RNA
Rfam family: Bacterial small subunit ribosomal RNA
Source: RNAcentral